Molecule: long non-coding RNA, 638 nt
Organism: Hippocampus comes (tiger tail seahorse)
Lineage: Eukaryota; Metazoa; Chordata; Actinopteri; Syngnathiformes; Syngnathidae
Exons: 2
Source: RefSeq, a predicted model, not a curated record
CAUACUAGCAGAAAAACGUGUCAGUCCAACCUCGAGCGUCAUGUCGUGUCCGCAAGCUUUGCUGUUGUCGUAGAUCAAAGCUUCUUUGAUCUGUGACGUCGGUUGCAUCGGCGCUGAUUGGUUGAAACCCUAAGACGCGCUCGUGCAUACAUGUGCAUGCUGACGUUGACUGACUGUUUUCGGCAAUUUUUCCUCAAUUUUCCAGGGGAAUUUUCACGAAAAUUUGAAAAGCCAGAAUUCCGGGAAGAUCUGGAGGUCUAUCAUCUCUAUUAAUCUGAGACUUCUUUGAGAAUCUUUGGCCACAAAAUGAGCAGGAAAAAGGUUUCUCAACAUUGUGGGUUCUUUUGUGACCAUUUACAUUUACCUUUAGAGAGAAUGUUCUGAACAGGCAAAAUGUUUCUCAGCAGUGUGGGUUCUUGGGUGGUGAAUUAAGUUUCCCUGACGAGAGAAUCUUUGGCCAAAAUCUGAGCAGGCAAAAUGUUUCUCACCAGUGUGGGUUCUGGUGUGUCUUUUUAAGCUUUGCUUGUGAGAGAAUCUUUGGCCACAAGCUAAGCAAGAAAAAGGUUUCUGACCAGUGUUGCUUCUGGUGUGUGGUUUUAAAGUUCCCUCUGAGAGAAUCUUUGGCCACACGUUGAGCA